Long non-coding RNA from Pyrgilauda ruficollis (rufous-necked snowfinch), 106 nucleotides. RefSeq lists it as uncharacterized. The record is from RefSeq and is a predicted model, not a curated record. NCBI's taxonomy places the organism in Eukaryota, Metazoa, Chordata, Aves, Passeriformes, Passeridae. The transcript is spliced from 2 exons.
GGAGGAUUGAGGAGAGUUCCCGGAAAAACGGGAAUUCCCGAAAUUCCGUGACGCCGCCCGAAAUUUGCAGGGGGGGGGAAAUUCUUCUCAAUAAAAAUUUAAACUC